This 622-nucleotide ribosomal RNA is filed under the name Salmonella enterica subsp. enterica serovar Typhimurium str. 36618. RNAcentral's name for it is "bacterial LSU rRNA". It matches the Rfam family "Bacterial large subunit ribosomal RNA", at positions 589 to 1212 of the family's 2925-position model. Lineage: Bacteria; Pseudomonadati; Pseudomonadota; Gammaproteobacteria; Enterobacterales; Enterobacteriaceae. The record is from RNAcentral.
GGGUGUGACUGCGUACCUUUUGUAUAAUGGGUCAGCGACUUAUAUUCUGUAGCAAGGUUAACCGUAUAGGGGAGCCGGAGGGAAACCGAGUCUUAACCGGGCGUUAAGUUGCAGGGUAUAGACCCGAAACCCGGUGAUCUAGCCAUGGGCAGGUUGAAGGUUGGGUAACACUAACUGGAGGACCGAACCGACUAAUGUUGAAAAAUUAGCGGAUGACCUGUGGCUGGGGGUGAAAGGCCAAUCAAACCGGGAGAUAGCUGGUUCUCCCCGAAAGCUAUUUAGGUAGCGCCUCGUGAAUUCAUCUCCGGGGGUAGAGCACUGUUUCGGCUAGGGGGCCAUCCCGGCUUACCAACCCGAUGCAAACUGCGAAUACCGGAGAAUGUUAUCACGGGAGACACACGGCGGGUGCUAACGUCCGUCGUGAAGAGGGAAACAACCCAGACCGCCAGCUAAGGUCCCAAAGUCAUGGUUAAGUGGGAAACGAUGUGGGAAGGCCCAGACAGCCAGGAUGUUGGCUUAGAAGCAGCCAUCAUUUAAAGAAAGCGUAAUAGCUCACUGGUCGAGUCGGCCUGCGCGGAAGAUGUAACGGGGCUAAACCAUGCACCGAAGCUGCGGCAGCGAA